Molecule: ribosomal RNA, 254 nt
Filed under: uncultured bacterium
Lineage: Bacteria
Description: partial 16S ribosomal RNA
Rfam family: Bacterial small subunit ribosomal RNA
Source: RNAcentral
UACGUAGGGAGCAAGCGUUGUCCGGAAUCAUUGGGCGUAAAGAGCUCGUAGGCGGCUUGGUAAGUCGGAUGUGAAACCUCCAGGCUCAACCUGGAGUCGCCAUCCGAUACUGCCAUAGCUAGAGUCCGGUAGGGGCCCACGGAACUCCUGGUGUAGCGGUGAAAUGCGCAGAUAUCAGGAAGAACACCAAUGGCGAAGGCAGCUCGCUGGGACGUGACUGACGCUGAGACGCGAAAGCGUGGGGAGCAAACAGG